This 73-nucleotide transfer RNA is filed under the name Cordylochernes scorpioides. RNAcentral describes it as "tRNA-Thr". Lineage: Eukaryota; Metazoa; Arthropoda; Arachnida; Pseudoscorpiones; Chernetidae. The record is from RNAcentral.
GUCCAGGAGCGGGAAUCGAACCCACAACCUUCUGCUUACCGAGCAGGUGCCAUGUCCACUAGGCUACCCUGGA